CAGUUGCCAUCGGUAAGGCCGGGCGACUCUGGAUGGACUGCCGGCGACAAGCCGGAGGAAGGUGGGGAUGACGUCAGGUCAUCAUGGCCCUUAUGUCCAGGGCGACACACGUGCUACAAUGGCCGGCACAACGGGAAGCGAAGGGGCGACCCUGAGCGGAUCCCCAUAAAAGCCGGUCCCAGUUCGGAUUGCAGUCUGCAACUCGACUGCAUGAAGUUGGAAUCGCUAGUAAUCGUGGAUCAGCCAAGCCGCGGUGAAUACGUUCCCGGGCCUU
This 274-nucleotide ribosomal RNA is filed under the name uncultured Thermovirga sp. Its description in RNAcentral is "partial 16S ribosomal RNA". It matches the Rfam family "Bacterial small subunit ribosomal RNA", at positions 1112 to 1382 of the family's 1533-position model. The record is from RNAcentral. Lineage: Bacteria; Thermotogati; Synergistota; Synergistia; Synergistales; Thermovirgaceae.